AACGAACGCUGGCGGCAGGUCUAACACAUGCAAGUCGAACGAGAAGCCACCUUCGGGUGGUGGACAGUGGCAGACGGGUGAGUAACGCGUGGGAACGUGCCUUUCGGUUCGGAAUAACCCAGGGAAACUUGGGCUAAUACCGGAUACGCCCUUCGGGGGAAAGAUUCAUUGCCGAAAGAUCGGCCCGCGUCGGAUUAGCUAGUUGGUGGGGUAAACGGCUCACCAAGGCGACGAUCAGUAGCUGGUCUGAGAGGAUGAUCAGCCACAUUGGGACUGAGACACGGCCCAAACUCCUACGGGAGGCUG
RNAcentral lists this ribosomal RNA (306 nucleotides) under uncultured Pseudomonadota bacterium. Its description in RNAcentral is "bacterial SSU rRNA". It matches the Rfam family "Bacterial small subunit ribosomal RNA", at positions 29 to 351 of the family's 1533-position model. The record is from RNAcentral. Lineage: Bacteria; Pseudomonadati; Pseudomonadota.